This 4894-nucleotide long non-coding RNA is filed under the name Arachis ipaensis. RNAcentral describes it as "long non-coding RNA (AIPA_LNC001430)". Lineage: Eukaryota; Viridiplantae; Streptophyta; Magnoliopsida; Fabales; Fabaceae. The record is from RNAcentral.
UUUCUUAAUCAUCUUCAGAAACAAUAAAACGAUCCAUUAAUUCACUUCAAUAGAGGCCAACAAUCCAUAACCAUGCCCACAACUCUCAUACUCGAAGCCAGUCCCGUCACCUCCUUCAAAUGGAAUCACCGCACCAGCUUCCUCACUAAACCCCCUAAGCUCUCUCCAAUCCUCUACACCAAACCCCCACACUCUCCCUCAUACACCCUCAAAUGUUUCUUCUCCCCAAAUCACAAUCACAACCACAACCAAAACACCUCCUCCUCCAAAUCUCCUUUCGAUGUUCUCUUAGACACUUUAUCAAACACCUUGACCGCGUUGCGGAAACCCGCCAUAGCCGCCGUGUUGAUGGGGCUGCUUCUAAUGUACGACCCCAACGCUUCUGCUUUGGCCGCAUCUGGGGGUCGAAUAGGUGGUUCUUCCUUCUCUUCACGUUCUUCUUCUUCUUCUUCAUCGUCGAGAAGUUACUCUGUGCCUAGAACUUCGGCACCUACGCCGGGCUUCUCUUACUCUGCGCCCUAUUACGCACCUUCUCCCUUCGGUUUUGGCGGUGGCGGGAUUUACGUUGGACCCGCCGUUGGGGUGGGUGCAGGCUCUAGCUUGUUCCUCAUAUUUGCUGGUUUCGUUGCCUUCAUUUUGGUCUCUGGAUUUCUUUCCGAACGGUCAGAGGGUAGUGUACUCACCGCAGCUGAGAAAAUGACCGUGCUCAAGCUUCAGGUUUGGUCAAGUUGCUCACAUGAAUUACGUGAACACAAAGUGUUGGCGCUUUCGUUUUGUUUUCUUUUGCUGGCAUUGCCAUGGAUAAUAAUAUAACAUUGCUUCUUGUUUUUUCUGCCAAUGGAAAGUAUGACUUGAUAUAGGCUUAGGCUUGGGAGUUUGCUUAUUAUCUCUUACCAAUGCAUCGUUACAUUGUUGGUUUAGAUUUCUGAACCCAAAGGGUCGUGUGUGUAUGGCUGAAGUGGUUUGCCUUUUGUAAUUGACUCUAUAAAGAGUUGUUUUGUCCAAGGAUUAUUCAUUUUAUGUGAGAUUAAUUAUUGGCACUUUGGUUUAUUGUUGCUUACUUAGUUGAUUGUAGGUAUUGGUAUAAGUGAUUUUCCUUGGCGAAUGAUUCGUUCAAAUGGUUUGCCACUUGUUUCUCUUAAGCUACGUCUCAACUUGAUUAGUAUGAAUGGGUGAAAAAAGAAAAUAGUACUAAGAGUUUUAUAUUUCCCCCUUGAUAGGCGAUACUGCUCAGGUUAAAUUAAUUGGAAUACACGAACUGUGUUCAUAAGUAGAUUAGAUCUAAAAUAUUACUCUCCUACUUAUGUCUUGACGUUUGAUAAUUGAUAGUUGAAAUUUUUCUUUGAUUUAGGCUAGUUUUUGGAUUUCUCAACCAAAGUGUGUGCGUGAAAGACUGUUAUUUGAAUUAGUAUCUGACAAUGCUUGUUUGUCAGCUUUCUCUUGAAGUGUGAUUUCAUUAAUGAUUCUUAAAUCUUUGGUAAAUAUUAAUGGAGGAGUUGUUCCUUCAGGUUGGAUUGUUGGGGAUGGGUCGCACGCUUCAGAGGGAUUUGAAUAGGAUUGCAGAAGUUGCUGAUACAUCAACUCCUGAAGGUUUGCGUUUUGUAUUGACAGGUGAGGCUCCUUAAUAUGGGAUUUUUUUCGUCACUUGUGUUUUAUUUGUUUUGUAGCACAGGUGAUUAUGGUAUAUCUGGUUUACCUAUCAUGUGAACAUGAUUAGUAUCUUGUAUAUAUUGUUUUUCAAAGAAAUAUGCUCUGACAAAGGAUUGAUGGCUUAUUUUAGUGAAAACGAGUGUUAUAUAAUUUUAGUUUCCCCUCUUCUUAGCACUAGAACUUAUGAUUAUGAACUUUGCUAAAUCCGUAACUAUUUCAAAAUUUGGGUCACUCCUAUGAUUUCAUAUGUAAUGUACCUUAUGGUGACUCUCUGAUCAUCUUUCUGCGUUUGUUAUGUGGUGUAACAUACAUCAAGAUGGCUAUAUGAUCUUUCUAUUCUAAUGUACUUUUCUAUCUGAUUUUCUUUACAGAGACCACUCUAGCUUUGCUUCGACAUCCUGAUUACUGUAUUUCAGCAUACUCAGCUGUAAGUGACUUUUAUGUCUAAUAUACUGCAUUGCUAUCUUGAUAUUAAUGCAAACAACUAAGUUCUAUUGUUCUGUUAGUUGUGCUACCUUUUUUUAGCAUAAAAGAGAUGUUUUUUUGGGGGUCUCCACAUGCGUGUUGAGUUGAUUGUAUUGAUCUAAUACCUUUCGGAGUACAUUAUUUUUUCACUUAAUAAAUUAUUUAUUUUUUGAUCUCAUCAUACAACCCCCUAAAAAAUCCUUUUCAACCUUACUCGUGUUCAAUUAUACCCAAAAUUGAUCUUAGCUUGAAGCUUGAACAUCUGUUGCAGUAGCAGUAGACCAAACUGCAACUGAUUUUAACAUAGAUUUCCUUACACAACUGCAGGUGGAUGUAAAGCGGGGUAUAGAAGAUGGGGAGAAACGUUUCAAUCAACUUUCAAUUGAAGAACGAGGAAAAUUUGAUGAAGAGACACUUGUCAAUGUGAAUAACAUAAAAAGGCAAAGCUCAAGAAGCCAGAGAGCAAAUGGUUUUAGCAAUGAGUACAUAGUGGUAACAUUUACUUUCAUAACUAGUUGCUUAAUUUGUGAUUCAAAAUUUUGUAUUGCAGCAUACAAAGCAGUUAAUUUGAUGCAUUUUACUGUUCUUUAUUUCUGUUACUAAAUAAUUUUGAAACCAAGGCAGCAUAAUCAAACCAUAUUGUAACGACUUAAAUUAUUUUCAUUGGUGUUUUUUAGAAACCACUGGUUCUAUGGUGGUGUUUGGUGGUAAACAUGGCAUACUUCAGUGUGGUCACGGGUCACCACUUGUUGGAUAAUUAUGAUGUUUUAAUUGCUUCUUACUGUAACAUAUGCAUUAAGAACGACUAUAGACUGUAAGUUCUAGUUGAGAGUUGAAACUUUGGUUCUUCCUUUACCUCUCUUGAUAAUUGUGUGGUUGUAAUGACUAAUGAUUCCUUCAUGUUGUCCCCAGCUUUGGUGGUUACUGAUCUCACUUUUUAAUCAUAGUGUCUCUUUCUUGUAAAUGAUAUCGGUCUACAUUAAUUGGCUUACAUCUCACCUUCAUUCAAUAGGAACGGAAGUGGGCAACUGAGGCUAGCUCAGUUGGUGUCGGNNNNNNNNNNNNNNNNNNNNNNNNNNNNNNNNNNNNNNNNNNNNNNNNNNNNNNNNNNNNNUGUAAAAAAUUGAAAAUAAAAUUAUUUUAAAAAAAUAAAAUAAAAAACGAAAUCUAAACCUGUUCUUAACAAUUCCCUUCUCUCUUUCCACAAUAAGAUGUCAGAUAUGGGUGAAACACUGAAGCUGGUGAAAACUAUGCUAAAUUUAAAGGUCUAGGUUGGAAAAAUGUUUAAUUGGGAGCAAAAAAACAUAUGUACACAAAAAUCGCGGAAUUUAGCCAUUUUGUAUAUCAACAUAUACCGCUGUACAGGUAUAACAGUUUAUGUACGUUUGCAAUUUAUACACAAACCGCAACACUUUUAUCGCGGAUUUACGUUCAUUUAUAAACCGUAGAUUCCCUAUCACGGUUUACAUGAUUUAUAAAAAAAAUAAAUUUUAGUAUUCGUUUUGUAAAAAAAGUUAAAUUAUUUAUUUUGAUAAAUUACCUUAAAAAAAUAUAUGUAGUAAAAACAAUAAUCAUUUUUCAUAUCCAAAUAGAAAAAGUAGACCUAUAAGAAGAAGAAAAGGAAAGAAUGAGGGUUAAGGAUCUUCGAUUAUUUGUACAAUCAAAUGUUGGUUCGAUCACAAAUAGAAAACGCAUAAAGAAUACAAAAAAUACCAAAAAAAAAAUUGAAAAAGAUAAUAGAAAGAAGACUCACAUACCAUAAUGCUUUGUUCUUAUUUUGUGCUCAAAGCCUCAAACAUGUUAGGUACAAUAAUUGGAAUUUCAUAUCCUAACAACACGAUAGGAUUUAGCAGAUAUGUUCAAUGUUGCUAAAACAAUUUUUUCUUUCAGGUCAAAGGUGGGGUAGUGGUUUAUGUUUUUUUUUAACUCACAUUUUGUUGUUGGAUAAUAGUUAAUCACUUAAUCUAAUCAAAUUAAUUUCCAGUUAAACAGAAAUAAACUCUUAUUUUCGCCCAAAAUAUAACAAUGCAACCUCUUAAAAUAGUAAAUUCCUUGAUUUUUAUUUUAAGAUAUCAAUUUUAGCUACUAAUAAUUAAAAAAAUUGUUAGAAUUAUUUUUUCUAGGGUCAUGGGGUGAACUAGAAAGAGAGUAUAAGUUGAUAAUUGAUAAUGACAAAGAUUUUAGGAAAUCUGGAGAAUGAAUGAAUGAUAAGAUGAGGCUCAGAAGGCAUGGCCCAUUACUGCCUAGCUGGCCGAAUAACGCCCCCACUUCUCCCUCCUCCAUCCCAUUCACAUAACCGUCUUUCUCCAAACCUCCUUUCCAUUUCUUAAUCAUCUUCAGAAACAAUAAAACGAUCCAUUAAUUCACUUCAAUAGAGGCCAACAAUCCAUAACCAUGCCCACAACUCUCAUACUCGAAGCCAGUCCCGUCACCUCCUUCAAAUGGAAUCACCGCACCAGCUUCCUCACUAAACCCCCUAAGCUCUCUCCAAUCCUCUACACCAAACCCCCACACUCUCCCUCAUACACCCUCAAAUGUUUCUUCUCCCCAAAUCACAAUCACAACCACAACCAAAACACCUCCUCCUCCAAAUCUCCUUUCGAUGUUCUCUUAGACACUUUAUCAAACACCUUGACCGCGUUGCGGAAACCCGCCAUAGCCGCCGUGUUGAUGGGGCUGCUUCUAAUGUACGACCCCAACGCUUCUGCUUUGGCCGCAUCUGGGGGUCGAAUAGGUGGUUCUUCCUUCUCUUCACGUUCUUCUUCUUCUUCUUCAUCGU